GCGGGGCUGCCUGGUGCGUCAGGAGCCAUAAUUCCCGGGGCCUUAUCGAUCCUUAAGGGAACUGUCCCUGUCCGGGCUCCUGGGCUCGGGCACACGGUGCCCACCUACUUUCGUAGGGAACCUGGGAUCGAAGCUCCAACGGCCAGGCGGCUCCGCA
RNAcentral lists this non-coding RNA (157 nucleotides) under Hyphomicrobiales bacterium. RNAcentral describes it as "6S RNA". It matches the Rfam family "6S / SsrS RNA". Rfam says of the family: E. coli 6S RNA was the first non coding RNA to be sequenced, but its function was unknown until recently. The record is from RNAcentral. Lineage: Bacteria; Pseudomonadati; Pseudomonadota; Alphaproteobacteria; Hyphomicrobiales.